Molecule: ribosomal RNA, 253 nt
Filed under: uncultured bacterium
Lineage: Bacteria
Description: partial 16S ribosomal RNA
Rfam family: Bacterial small subunit ribosomal RNA
Source: RNAcentral
UACGGGGGGGGCAAGCGUUGUUCGGAAUUACUGGACGUAAAGGGCUCGUAGGCGGCCAACUAAGUCAGACGUGAAAUCCCUCGGCUUAACCGGGGAACUGCGUCUGAUACUGGAUGGCUUGAGUUCGGGAGAGGGAUGCGGAAUUCCAGGUGUAGCGGUGAAAUGCGCAGAUAUCAGGAGGAACACCGAUGGCGAAGGCAGCUCGCUGGGACGGUACUGACGCUGAGGCGCGAAGGCCAGGGGAGCAAACGGG